This 649-nucleotide ribosomal RNA is filed under the name Papiliotrema flavescens. Its description in RNAcentral is "eukaryotic LSU rRNA". It matches the Rfam family "Eukaryotic large subunit ribosomal RNA", at positions 34 to 672 of the family's 3401-position model. Lineage: Eukaryota; Fungi; Basidiomycota; Tremellomycetes; Tremellales; Rhynchogastremaceae. The record is from RNAcentral.
UUAAGCAUAUCAAUAAGCGGAGGAAAAGAAACUAACAAGGAUUCCCCUAGUAACGGCGAGUGAACCGGGAAGAGCUCAAAUUUGAAAUCUGGCGUGCUCAGUGCGUCCGAGUUGUAAUCUAUAGAGUCGUUUUCCGUGCCGGACUGUGUCCAAGUCCCUUGGAACAGGGUAUCAAAGAGGGUGAUAAUCCCGUACUUGACACAAUGACCGGUGCUCUGUGAUACGUCUUCUACGAGUCGAGUUGUUUGGGAAUGCAGCUCAAAAUGGGUGGUGAGUUCCAUCUAAAGCUAAAUAUUGGCGAGAGACCGAUAGCGAACAAGUACCGUGAGGGAAAGAUGAAAAGCACUUUGGAAAGAGAGUUAAACAGUACGUGAAAUUGUUAAAAGGGAAACGAUUGAAGUCAGUCGUGACUGAGAGGCUCAGCCGGUUCUGCCGGUGUAUUCCCCUCAGUCGGGUCAACAUCAGUUUUGUUCGGUGGAUAAGGGCAGUUGGAAGGUGGCACCCUCGGGUGUGUUAUAGCCAGCUGUCGCAUACAUCGGAUGAGACUGAGGAAUGCAGCUCGCCUUUAUGGCCGGGGUUCGCCCACGUUCGAGCUUAGGAUGUUGACAUAAUGGCUUUAAACGACCCGUCUUGAAACACGGACCAAGGA